This is an RNA transcript of Alexandromys fortis (reed vole), 5757 nucleotides long. It is a transcript of the gene named rho GTPase-activating protein 20-like, with no coding region annotated. NCBI's taxonomy places the organism in Eukaryota, Metazoa, Chordata, Mammalia, Rodentia, Cricetidae. The transcript is spliced from 17 exons. The record is from RefSeq and is a predicted model, not a curated record.
CGCCUGCGCCGGAGACGCGUGCAGAAGGAAGGGCGCAGGCGCGGCGGGCUGCGCAUGCGCGGCGCGCGGGCGCGACGAUGGCGGCGGCCGGGUUCAACUCUACAGAGAAGAUAAUGAUGACUCUUAUCUCUCGGACACAGAAAAUGACAAUAUAAUGUAGACUUGUUGGAAAAAAAAAUUUCUGUUUUGAAGAUUUUAAUUAUUUUGAGAUCUCGGUGCAGCAGCUUCUCUUAGUGGAUACAUGUAGCCAGCAUCCCCUCCUAAUGAAGCAUCUCUUUACAACAUACGAAGAGCAUCAUAGAAAAUCAUAACUGUGCACAGCGAAGACAGAGACCAGCAUUUCAUGGGGGACUCAGUCCCAGUAGCCACAUCUCCAUUACAGCUUCUGCAUCUAUGGCUUGGGAAACAUCACUGAAGAGGGGCUGGAAAGACUCGAAGAGUCAGAACACAAUGAAGCCUAUUCUGAAGGUUUCUUCUACAAAGUGUUGUAUAAAGGAGCCCAGAAACAUCGGUGGCAAUAUCAUGUUGACAUGGAAGGGGGAAAGUUUCACCUGGUUUCACCCCAAGAAAAAAAAUCACAGUUGGAGACCUGCACCAGGAGAAGCCUUUUUUUUCCCCCCUAAAUGGAAACCCUUGAGGAGAAAGCCACGGGAGAGAAACAUCGAACCUUGCUCUGCCAAGGUCCCGUGGAACUGAGAAGAGGCUGGAGAAGGAAGAAACAACACCUCUCCUUGUUCAGUGAUGUGUUGGUUGUGUCUGACAACCUGCGUAAGAGAAAGUUCAAGACCAAACAUGUCAUCCCCCUGAGUUACCUGUGGAUGGGUGACUCUGUGGACAUAGUCGGGAGAGACAGCAGCUCUGCUUGCAAGUCCAUUCUCCUGUCCUGGCCCAUGGGAAAUUUUGUGGCCACCUUUCGUUCUAUGGAACAGAAAGAUCGGUGGUAUUGUUUUCUCCAAAGAUCCAUUAAUGACGCCACAGAGGGCUACAGGAAGCAUUUUAAACUCCCGAUAUUCACUGAGGAUAUCCCAAACUGUGCCAGUCCUUUAUAUAUAACAACAACAGACUUGGAGACAGUCAAUGACAUCAUCCAGAAGUUACUCCCCAUGAUAGGAAUGCCUAGUGCUCAAGGUUACCAACUGUGGUUCUGUCGUGGCUAUGAGAAAGCCCCAGGCCUACUCCAAGAGCAUGAGCAUCCCUAUGACAUUAUAAUGAGGAACAGCCUAAAUACCUUCAAUCGAAGGGAAUCAAGAAAUUUCACAGCUUUUCCUGCCCUGCCUGGGCUGUAUGUGGAACAACCAGAUAUACAGGGACGAUUCAUCCUAAAGCCCAGAGAAGCAGCAAGAAGUCAGAAGCAGAGCAAUACAGAGGAGCCAAGAGCUACGAAAAGAUGGCCUUUCAUAUCUCGGUGGUUCCACAGGGGCUCUGUGCUUCACCAGGACCAACUGUGCACAGCCCUGCCAGUUGCUAAGACAGGAAAACUCUUUGGAAAUGAUCUGACUGCCAUUUGUGAAGAUGGCAAUCUGCCCACAGCAAUUCUGGACAUCCUAUCCUUUAUUAGUGAAAAAGGGCCGAUCACGAAAGGCAUCUUCAGAACAUCAGGUGAUAUAAGGGCAUUCCGAGCCCUAAAAGAAAGACUGGAUUCUGGGACAGAAGUGAACUUGAACAACGAAAGUGUCCCUGUGGUGGCAUCUAUCUUAAAGGAAUUUCUUCAAAAUAUACCAGGCAGUGUGCUGACGUCUGGACUGUAUGAUGAAUGGCUCGGUGUCCCUGACCAAGAGUGUGAAGAGAAGAAAGUAGCUGCAGCACAGAGUCUUUUAGAGCAAAUACCCCAACCGAAUGCCUUUCUUUUGAAAACACUUUUCGGGAUAUUAUACAAAAUUGAGCAAAACUCUGAACUCAACCAUAUGACAUCAUCAAAUUUAGCUGUUUGCAUUGCCCUGAGUAUUCUAUGCCUGCCUGCUUCCAGCAACUCGGAACUGCCAGAUGUCUCCAGAAAGAUUUCUCUGGUCAGUUUCCUAACUGAGAAUUAUCCAAAAAUAUUUGGAGAAGGCAUUCCGGUUCAUCACGAGAGUCCAUCGGUUUGCUCUGAUGGGGAGAACACUUACAAUGCCCUUAACACUCAGACUGACAAAAUUGUGAUGGAAGGAAGUGAGCGUGAAGAAGACCCCCGCCCCAGUGGCAGCACGUGCCCCACAGGCAAUGAUGUAUAGCCCAGAAGUCCAACUGCUCCUUGUCACAAUGAGGAAUUAGAGGAUAAGAAGGAAAUACUGGCCGGGCAGUGGUGGCGCACGCCUUUAAUCCCAGCACUUGGGAGGCAGAGGCAGGUGGAUCUUUGUGAGUUCGAGAUCAGCCUGGUCUACAAGAGCUAGUUCCAGGACAGGCUCCAAAACCACAGAGAAACACUGCCUCGGAAAAAAAAAAAAAAAGAAGGAAAUACUGGUCAGUAGUUAAUCACCUAAUAGUCAAACUUGUAGUCAUAUUAGGUAUGUUUUCAAGGUCAAAAAAGAUUGAUUUUAUAUAGCUCAUUUAUAUAAUUCUAGAGAAUAUGGCAUUUAAGGAUGAUGUAAUAACCUAUGAGCUUCUUUUUAUGACCGUGAGACAUGUCUGCUCCUGGCAGCACCAAUCUACUUCAGGGAAGAUAAUGGGCAUCAAAGAAGUUACACAUGGAAUUUACAUUCUUUGUGGCAAAAUCAAGCCCCUGGGCAAGAAAAUGGCUUUGUCUUGACUGCUGAUACUAUGCACGUUGUGCUGUCAGACCAGACAAGUAGGACACUGAAGAGAGUGACUGCCAAAUAUUGCCAAGUCAAGGAGGGGCAGUCCUUCAAAAUGUCCUGCUUCACAGAGAGAUCUGUUAGAUAUUCUGGGCCUGUAGGCCAUGGAGAGAGAUGGCCCAGUGUUGCAGAGGAACUUUGGGUGACUGUCCAGGCAGCUAGCUGUUUCUGUCAUUACUCACAGUUUUUGAAAGUUGUUUGCUUACACUCCCUGCUUAUUCAGUCAAUAUUCUUGGGUCUCUGAGGAAAUUGAAAACUUGAUAGUUAUAGUUUUCCUUUUUACCUGAUGCAGGACUCAAGUUAUGAUAGAAGGUAAAUCGGGUAUACGAUUUUUGGACUCACCAAAAUAGAAUAGAUAUGGAGUAAUUUCUCUAAAUUUGUCAAAUGCAUGUGGACUAGCCAUUGUUGAUAUAUUUAUUGAUAUAUAUAUAUGAUGUAGUUAUUAUACUUAUCAUAUAUAGUUUUUCUUAUAUUAGUUAUUGCCUUUUUAAUUUUAGACAAAAAGAGGUAAUGUAGUAGCAUUUCACUUGUAUUUUAAUAAAGAAAGCUUGCCUGAAAUUCAGAGAGUAAAACAAUCCCACUGAUCAGCCUUACAGACCAGGAAGUGGUAACACACACCAUUAGACACCAUUAGUGCCAGUAGCUACACUAGUUUACCAUAGGAACAGGGUGGUAUAUGCCUUUAAUCCCAGUGGUGCAUGCCUUUAAUCUCAUUGAUGAAUGAUUUUGACCCAGUCUGAGAGACGAUUAUAAAAUUGGGGGAGACAGCUCUCAUGUUUUUAUCUCAUUCUGAGAUUCUCGGAAGCAGGAUCGCCAUUUAAGAAUGAUGCCGAGGUAAGAGCCAGUGGCUAGGGGUUUUACUUUUCUGACCUUCAGGUUGAACCCGAAUUUCUCUCUAUGAGUUUCUUUUAAUUUUGCUUCAAGAGGUAUUUCAGGGGAUCUACGGCAAUUAAACCUGAUUUUUCUUACCCAGAGUGAAUCCACAGCCUGUCAUUUCCUGUGGAAGCAAACACAUAACCUCUCCCCCAAAGUAACAUAUCUUUUGACUUAAAUUUUUAAGUCAAGAUAAUUUUAAAAUAUAUACGUUGGUUUAAUAUAGCUGUUUUCAUAACCCAAGGUCUCUUAGAAGCCAAAAAAACUUAAAGACAGCAGAAUAAUUUGCACAAUCCAGAUUAUGUAUCUGUGCAUUUUCCAUCUUCAUGUGUGUUAUUAUAUAUUUUAUUACUCUGUUCCAUUUUAAGGACUUUCCUUACCCAUUUUCUUUUCCCUCCAAGGCCAACAUAUAUUUUUAAACAGACUGUAAUCUAUGUGUAGAGGGUUUUUCUUUUGCCUGAAUGAAUCCUUACAGCUCAUCUGUAACCUUUUCUAUCUGCAUGAGCAAAAACCAAAACAGAACAAAACAAACGUACUAGUAAUUUAUACCAUGUCGAUUCCCUGAGAGUCUGGUCUCAUGGCAGAGGCUUAUUUAUCCCCAGCUCUGAGAGCCAUGUUUACCGCCCCAACUCUGGAAAGUUUCUAGUUUCAUGCCCACAGCAAGAAGAAUGCUGCUCAGAAACACCAUAAAAGUAUUUGGUGGCAGGACCUCUUAAAAAAGCUGCCUGGUUUUGCAGCUAGCAUGGAGCCUGAGGGCUGCAUUUUAAAGGAGCUGUGCCUCUCCUCACUGCCAACAAACAGAGCCCACUGGAGAAAAGGCAGCUACCGAGAGCACACACUUGACGCCAUUCUUGUGUGUGUAGAAUCACUUUUUAAACUUUAUCAUGUUUUAUGUGGAAAUACAGAGUACAUGUUGGAACGCCAAAUGUAUCUGGUUGUUUCCUGUCCCUACUGCCUGUUCCCAAAUACCCAGCAACUCCUUCUCAAAUUAAUACACAGAGGCUUAUAUUAAUUAUAAAUGCUGUCUGGUGGCUCAGGCUUGUUACUAUCAAAUUCUUAAAACCUAAAUUAUCUCGUUUCUAUUAAUCUACAUAUUGCCAAGUGGCUGGUGGCUUUACAUACCCUCUAUCAUGCCAUGCUCCCUCUUCUCUCUCUGUCCUCCUUCUUCCCAACAUUCUCAGUUUGGUUUUCCACCUAACUGCUUGCCCAACUACCGGCCUGGCAGUUUAAUUCACCAGAGAGAGUAAUACAUAGUCAUAGUGUAGGAAAGGAUUGCUGCACAGUAUACACCUGAAAGGAAACUCUGCCACCCCGAAUUGCAGCAAACGAGGAACACCUCACUGCAAAUUCUAACAUCCAGUGACCACUCAUCAAGAGAGCUCCUCGGAACAUCUCUCCUGAGAGUUUGUGAGGAUGGGAAUCCGCCUACCCCAAUACUGGACAUGCUCUCUAUUACUGAUGAAAAGGGAUCCUAUGUGGAGAAAAUCUUCAGAACGAUAGCCAACAAAUCCUUCUGAAAUCUCAAAGAAAAGCUUUGUACUGUUGAUGAAGUAAGCUUGACAGUGAGCAACAGAACAACUUCUGCAUCCAGUACCAUGGAAGGCCACAGUGCUCUACAGAACCGGAAACUGGAGGAUGAAGACCGAAUCAGCACCUGGAUUGGCCAUACUAUCUUCCUGCCCAUGAUUUUCUCAGUAACUGGAGACUUGACUCCUCAGAAUUCCACUGGGCUACAUCCAUCACUUUCUAUUUUUGGAAAACACUUAGAGCCUUUAACAGAAUUUGUUUGAAUCUUCUGCUUUUGUCCAGAAAUGAAAAUUCUUUUCAAAGAUCUUGAACAUCACCAUUAACCAGCAGAGAAACCUAGAGGGCUGCUCUUAAGAGUAUGGAUUUAGUCUUGAGUAAGAACUUCUCAGGUUCCAACUCAUUCCAUUUGAUGGCUCUUUGCCACCUUCCACUUAUCCAUAGGUCAGAAAAGCUUAUUAUAUGACAUUCUUUCUGUUCAUCUAUUUUACCUUAUGGUAUCAGUUACAAAUAUUUUUCACUUACAUUAAUUUUAUGCUGUAUAUUACACUUUCUUUAUUGUUUUAAUAAAUGUCAUUCAAUAAUUUCA